GCUUCAUAUGAUUUCUGGAUUAUGUGUCUCAGUACAACAGCAAGUCCUGCUCUACAGAAAUUGUCUGGUUUUUCUACUACUGCAGGACUAAGCCAACUUUGAAGAUUUUGCAGUCACAGUAUGAUAACAAAAAUAAAGUUACAGAUGUAUGAAGAGGAAAGAUACAUCCUUCCAUUUGUGCGAUACUAUACAGAAGAUCCCUAAAUGCUUCAAGAAGCAGAUUUGAAAGAAAACAUGAUUGAUUUCCUCGUUUGCCCAGCAGUC
Molecule: long non-coding RNA, 264 nt
Organism: Panthera uncia (snow leopard)
Lineage: Eukaryota; Metazoa; Chordata; Mammalia; Carnivora; Felidae
Exons: 3
Source: RefSeq, a predicted model, not a curated record